This 293-nucleotide ribosomal RNA is filed under the name uncultured bacterium. RNAcentral describes it as "partial 16S ribosomal RNA". It matches the Rfam family "Archaeal small subunit ribosomal RNA", at positions 455 to 747 of the family's 1478-position model. The record is from RNAcentral.
GUGCCAGCCGCCGCGGUAAUACCGGCAGCCCGAGUGAUGGCCGAUCUUAUUGGGCCUAAAGCGUCCGUAGCUGGCUGCGCAAGUCCGUCGGGAAAUCCACUCGCCCAACAGGUGGGCGUCCGGCGGAAACUGUGUGGCUUGGAACCGGAAGGCUCAGAGGGUACGUCCGGGAUAGGAGUGAAAUCCCGUAAGCCCGGACGGACCACCGAUGGCGAAAGCACUCUGAGAAGACGGCUUCGACAGUGAGGGACGAAAGCUAGGGUCUCAAACCGGAUUAGAUACCCUGGUAGUCC